UACAGAGGCCUCAAGCAUUAUCCGGAAUCAUUGGGCGUAAAGGGUGCGUAGGCGGUCUAGUUAGUCGAUAGUUAAAACCCGGGGCUCAACCCCGGGCUCGCUACCGAAACGGCUAGACUCGAGAGCAGGAGAGGUGUACGGAACUCAUGGUGUAGGGGUGAAAUCCGUUGAUAUCAUGAGGAACACCAAAGGCGAAGGCAGUACACUGGCCUGUUUCUGACGCUGAGGCACGAAACCCUGGGUAGCGAAAGGG
This 253-nucleotide unclassified non-coding RNA is filed under the name uncultured Parcubacteria group bacterium. Its description in RNAcentral is "contains 16S-23S intergenic spacer region". It matches the Rfam family "Bacterial small subunit ribosomal RNA", at positions 524 to 776 of the family's 1533-position model. The record is from RNAcentral.